This 253-nucleotide ribosomal RNA is filed under the name uncultured bacterium. Its description in RNAcentral is "partial 16S ribosomal RNA". It matches the Rfam family "Bacterial small subunit ribosomal RNA", at positions 524 to 776 of the family's 1533-position model. The record is from RNAcentral.
UACGAAGGGGGCUAGCGUUGCUCGGAUUGACUGGGCGUAAAGGGCGCGUAGGCGGUUCGUACAGUCAGACGUGAAAUUCCUGGGCUCAACCUGGGGGCUGCGUUUGAUACGUGCGGACUUGAGUGCGGAAGAGGGUCGUGGAAUUCCCAGUGUAGAGGUGAAAUUCGUAGAUAUGGGGAGGAACACCGGUGGCGAAGGCGGCCACCUGGACGGUAACUGACGCUGAGACGCGAAAGCGUGGGGAGCAAACAGG